This 73-nucleotide transfer RNA is filed under the name Trichonephila inaurata madagascariensis. It matches the Rfam family "tRNA". From Rfam's summary of the family: Transfer RNA (tRNA) molecules are approximately 80 nucleotides in length. Their secondary structure includes four short double-helical elements and three loops (D, anti-codon, and T loops). Lineage: Eukaryota; Metazoa; Arthropoda; Arachnida; Araneae; Nephilidae. The record is from Rfam by way of RNAcentral.
UUUCCUGUAGCGCAAUGGAUAGCGCGUUGGACUUCGAAUUCAAAGGUCGUGGGUUCGAAUCCUACCUGGGAAG